This is a small nuclear RNA of Choloepus hoffmanni (Hoffmann's two-fingered sloth), 106 nucleotides long. The record is from Ensembl. Lineage: Eukaryota; Metazoa; Chordata; Mammalia; Pilosa; Megalonychidae.
AUGCUCGCUUUGGCAGCACAUAUAAUGAAAUUAGAAUGGUACAGAGAAAAUUAGAAUGGCUCUUGCACCAGAUGACACGCAAAUUUGUGAAGCAUUCCAUAUUUUA